Molecule: long non-coding RNA, 536 nt
Organism: Brassica oleracea var. oleracea
Lineage: Eukaryota; Viridiplantae; Streptophyta; Magnoliopsida; Brassicales; Brassicaceae
Exons: 2
Source: RefSeq, a predicted model, not a curated record
UAGGGUAAGAUGAAGAAAUUAGCACAUAUGGAAAAACCGAAGGCCCAAGCGUGAAGCCUACCUCUAACCCUUGCGAAAAUACGUCGAUGCCUCUGUACCUUCUCUUUCUUCUACACAGACCCCAUCUCCGCCGCAUCAGUGCGCUGCCGUGUCUGUGUCUUCCCUUCUCGCUGUCGUGUAUGCGUAUUCUCUUCACGCCGCUGUCACAUCUCAUGUCGUUUGAUUGUGGGUGCACGGGGUGAGGCUUACACCGAGAUAAUUAAAUCGAGUAGAACGGUCUUCAGUAAGCGAUCAAUUGUACAUCUCAAGCUGGAUCGAGUGCUGCAGUUCGAGCAUGAUGAAUCGAGCAUUUGGGUCUUCUCAGUUCGAUCGAUGCAAGCUCAGGGCAACUGAGGAUCCAAUUUUUUUUUUUUUUGCAAAACUGGCCCCCCUAAAAUUAGCAUUGUUGUAUUCUAAUUUAUCCAGAUAUUUUAUAUUUUAGCUUGUAUUUAAUUUACAUUUACCGGCUAUUUUGAUAGGUAGAUGGUUGUUAUUUU